GUACAAGUCCAGGCGUGGACGAGUGUGCUUAGAGAUACUGGUGUCUUCUUUUUCUCUGUUGCUAUCUUGUUUUUGUUUGUGGUUUUUGUCAUGAGACACAGACACUGUAUGUCAGAGGUCUGGUUUUGGUCCCAAGGAGUUGACUGAUUAUCUUGGUUUGGUUUUAGGCCGGUCUCAGGUUCUGGGGCCUUCCCAUGGAGACAGGUCCAUUUGGGUUGGUCAUAGUGACAGUAAGCUUCUCUGGAAAUCGCAUGUAAGAUGCCCUGUAUUGGUCUUGCUUGUGUUUGUCAUUUCUGUGGUACUGUGAUUCUAUAGUGGUUGCCUGAAAAACGGUUUCUGUGUGUGUCUUUUUUGUCUCUUUGUGUUCGGACUUGGACUGAUGACUGACGACUGUUUUUAAGUUAUGCCUUCUGAAAUAAGCCUAAAAAUCCUGUCAGAUCCCUAUGCUGACCACUUCCUUUCAGAUCAACAGCUGCCCUGCCUCCCACUCCAACUCCAGAGAGCAGCCAGCGGGUCACAGUGGUCCCGUCCAUGGACCUGGAGCCUAGGGGGAAAAUGAGCUUAAAAAUCCGGAGCAAAAGAGGGGUGGUCCCUGAGAAGUCAGUGGCCUGAAUGUUGUGGCUGCUG
RNAcentral lists this long non-coding RNA (627 nucleotides) under Mus musculus (house mouse). RNAcentral's name for it is "predicted gene 12840". The record is from RNAcentral. Lineage: Eukaryota; Metazoa; Chordata; Mammalia; Rodentia; Muridae.